UACUGCCCCAGAUGGUAGUGAAAAGCCCGGACUGCAAAAAACUAUUUUUUCUUGGUUCUAAAGAGCGACCGGCAGGAAGCUCCUUUAUGACCUUAGAAAAAAAGUUUUUUGAAGGAGGACUUGCAAUGUACAGCUGGAUUAGGC
RNAcentral lists this unclassified non-coding RNA (144 nucleotides) under Flavobacterium fryxellicola. RNAcentral's name for it is "Flavo-1 RNA". The record is from RNAcentral. Lineage: Bacteria; Pseudomonadati; Bacteroidota; Flavobacteriia; Flavobacteriales; Flavobacteriaceae.